UCUCGCGUCAGGAUAUGCCUAGGUGGGAUUAGCUAGUUGGUGAGGUAAGGGCUCACCAAGGCGACGAUCCCUAGCUGGUCUGAGAGGAUGAUCAGCCACACUGGAACUGAGACACGGUCCAGACUCCUACGGGAGGCAGCAGUGGGGAAUAUUGCACAAUGGGCGCAAGCCUGAUGCAGCCAUGCCGCGUGUGUGAAGAAGGCCUUCGGGUUGUAAAGCACUUUCAGUCGUGAGGAAGGUGGUAGUGUUAAUAGCACUAUCAUUUGACGUUAGCGACAGAAGAAGCACCGGCUAACUCCGUGCCAGCAGCCGCGGUAAUACGGAGGGUGCGAGCGUUAAUCGGAAUUACUGGGCGUAAAGCGCAUGCAGGUGGUUUGUUAAGUCAGAUGUGAAAGCCCGGGGCUCAACCUCGGAAUAGCAUUUGAAACUGGCAGACUAGAGUACUGUAGAGGGGGGUAGAAUUUCA
RNAcentral lists this ribosomal RNA (466 nucleotides) under Vibrio alginolyticus. Its description in RNAcentral is "bacterial SSU rRNA". It matches the Rfam family "Bacterial small subunit ribosomal RNA", at positions 213 to 671 of the family's 1533-position model. Lineage: Bacteria; Pseudomonadati; Pseudomonadota; Gammaproteobacteria; Vibrionales; Vibrionaceae. The record is from RNAcentral.